UUUGAGGCCACCUGCAUCAUAAAGAGUAGCUGUAGUAUUUCUAAUGACUGAUUUCAUGGUCCAAUUUUUAAAUCCAACAUGUGAGGGAGAAAACAUUAAACUCCCCAUGCCGUAGUUUCUCCAAAUGUGAAAGGAGGUGGCAAUGACACUUACCUAUAUAAUGUUAUUGUGUGGAUGAAAUGAGGUAACAUCUAUAAAAUUUAGUAUGGUGAUGAUGACUCCUUAAGAAUUCACUUAAUGUUAACUAUUUUUAGUAAGAUACAAAGAUAACCCGUUAAAAUAUGAGUUUGAAAGAAUGGCUUAGUUUAUUUAAAUUAAUAACUAAUUUUAAAAGUAGAGAACUUAAAAACCCAAAAGUUAUAAAUAAAAGGGAUAUCUACUUUAAAAGUACAUUUAUUGGCAUCACAAAGGUUUUUUUUUUUUUUUAAGAUUUUAUCUAUUUAUUCAUGAGGGACACAGAGAGAAAGGCAGAGACAUAGGCAGAGGAAGAAGCAGGCUCCCUGUGGGGGGCCCAAUGCUAGCCUCCAUCCCAGUACUCCAGGAUCCUGCCCUGAGCCAAAGGCAGACGCUCAACCACUGAGACACGUAGGUGUCCCACAAAGGUUUUACAGCAUAUUGAUUCAGCAUUUAAGAAACUGAACUGAAAAACAAAGGAUAUCUUAAAAAGUCCAACAUUCCUUGGUGAUAUCAAGUGACUGGGACUAAGGAGCAGCUGCUCAUCACAGUUAGGAUGUGUUUUUACUGUUUUCACUUGUUCCAAACCACUGCUUGCUGUUUUUGGUUUUUUUGUUUUGUUUUGUUUUUGUUUUUUUUUCCUAUUACUGAGUUUCUUCAUUUAUUUUUCAUUACUGGCCAGACCCAGUUAUUUUUUAAAUUUACCAUUUCUAGUGAAUCUAAUACUCAAGAUUCUACCAAGUUAAAGACCUGUAUGUGACCAGGAAGGGAAAAUAAACACAAAGUAUAUCCUAAAAGGAGGAGCAUGAGUACGGAAAACUUGAAGCUACCUUUAUUUUUGAAAACAGCAUCCUCAGAGCUUUUGGUUGAUCCAUAUACUCAUUCUCAAAAUAUGAGGAAUACAGAAAACUCCUGCUAUGGCAACUCAAAUCUUGUGAAUGGUCUGCAAGAGAGCUCCUUGGUGAAGAGUGGCAUGCCCAAUACCAUGGGAGACUGUUCACUGAUUAUCUGCUGAACCCUGAAAGCAUAUUUGAAUUAGCCCUCAAAAUGUAUUGCACAGAAUAUGUGUUUCCUGUUCAUAAAAAGCUUUGAUAUCCAAGAGGGAACUACUACCUAUACCACAUAAUGAAACACUUUUGCCCAUUUUCUCCUCACUGGGCUCAUUCUACAACUUGCCUGAAUGAGUAAGGUACCCCACCAGAGCUGUGGGUUAGAGAAAGGAAGACAAAAAAAAAAAAAAGAAUAAGAGAAGUAGAAGAAUAGAUCAUGCUCUCAUACCUUUCCCUGUGAAUGAUGCUAAACCAUGGUUCUGAUGUGAGCCCAGAAUAAAAUAAAU
This 1510-nucleotide long non-coding RNA is filed under the name Vulpes vulpes (red fox). RNAcentral's name for it is "lncRNA (ENSVVUG00000014334.1)". Lineage: Eukaryota; Metazoa; Chordata; Mammalia; Carnivora; Canidae. The record is from RNAcentral.